Molecule: small nucleolar RNA, 138 nt
Filed under: Ornithorhynchus anatinus (platypus)
Lineage: Eukaryota; Metazoa; Chordata; Mammalia; Monotremata; Ornithorhynchidae
Source: RNAcentral
CACCUCUCAGAGUAGCCCCUGGAGAGUUUCCAGUACUCUACCAGUCUUGACUAUGGGAGGGAGAGUCAAGCAGAGGCAUAGCCAUUCCAUUCCUAGCUUGGGCAGUGGCUAGCGAAUGAAAGGCCAUCUGCUACAAAU